RNAcentral lists this ribosomal RNA (1134 nucleotides) under Escherichia coli. RNAcentral describes it as "partial 23S ribosomal RNA". It matches the Rfam family "Bacterial large subunit ribosomal RNA", at positions 15 to 1191 of the family's 2925-position model. The record is from RNAcentral. Lineage: Bacteria; Pseudomonadati; Pseudomonadota; Gammaproteobacteria; Enterobacterales; Enterobacteriaceae.
GCGUACACGGUGGAUGCCCUGGCAGUCAGAGGCGAUGAAGGACGUGCUAAUCUGCGAUAAGCGUCGGUAAGGUGAUAUGAACCGUUAUAACCGGCGAUUUCCGAAUGGGGAAACCCAGUGUGAUUCGUCACACUAUCAUUAACUGAAUCCAUAGGUUAAUGAGGCGAACCGGGGGAACUGAAACAUCUAAGUACCCCGAGGAAAAGAAAUCAACCGAGAUUCCCCCAGUAGCGGCGAGCGAACGGGGAGGAGCCCAGAGCCUGAAUCAGUGUGUGUGUUAGUGGAAGCGUCUGGAAAGGCGCGCGAUACAGGGUGACAGCCCCGUACACAAAAAUGCACAUACUGUGAGCUCGAUGAGUAGGGCGGGACACGUGGUAUCCUGUCUGAAUAUGGGGGGACCAUCCUCCAAGGCUAAAUACUCCUGACUGACCGAUAGUGAACCAGUACCGUGAGGGAAAGGCGAAAAGAACCCCGGCGAGGGGAGUGAAAAAGAACCUGAAACCGUGUACGUACAAGCAGUGGGAGCCUCUUAAUGGGGUGACUGCGUACCUUUUGUAUAAUGGGUCAGCGACUUAUAUUCUGUAGCAAGGUUAACCGAAUAGGGGAGCCGAAGGGAAACCGAGUCUUAACUGGGCGUUAAGUUGCAGGGUAUAGACCCGAAACCCGGUGAUCUAGCCAUGGGCAGGUUGAAGGUUGGGUAACACUAACUGGAGGACCGAACCGACUAAUGUUGAAAAAUUAGCGGAUGACUUGUGGCUGGGGGUGAAAGGCCAAUCAAACCGGGAGAUAGCUGGUUCUCCCCGAAAGCUAUUUAGGUAGCGCCUCGUGAAUUCAUCUCCGGGGGUAGAGCACUGUUUCGGCAAGGGGGUCAUCCCGACUUACCAACCCGAUGCAAACUGCGAAUACCGGAGAAUGUUAUCACGGGAGACACACGGCGGGUGCUAACGUCCGUCGUGAAGAGGGAAACAACCCAGACCGCCAGCUAAGGUCCCAAAGUCAUGGUUAAGUGGGAAACGAUGUGGGAAGGCCCAGACAGCCAGGAUGUUGGCUUAGAAGCAGCCAUCAUUUAAAGAAAGCGUAAUAGCUCACUGGUCGAGUCGGCCUGCGCGGAAGAUGUAACGGGGCUAAACCAUG